GGACCAUUAGCUCAGUUGGUCAGAGCCACCGGCUCAUAACCGGUUGGUCCAAGGUUCGAGCCCUUGAUGGUCCACCA
This 77-nucleotide transfer RNA is filed under the name Oscillospiraceae bacterium. Its description in RNAcentral is "tRNA-Met". It matches the Rfam family "tRNA". From Rfam's summary of the family: Transfer RNA (tRNA) molecules are approximately 80 nucleotides in length. Their secondary structure includes four short double-helical elements and three loops (D, anti-codon, and T loops). Lineage: Bacteria; Bacillati; Bacillota; Clostridia; Eubacteriales; Oscillospiraceae. RNAcentral also lists the same sequence under 1 other name. The record is from RNAcentral.